CCCGGCACAAGCGGUGGAGCAUGUGGUUAAUUCGAAGCAACGCGAAGAACCUUACCAGGCCUUGACAUGCAGAGAACUUCCAGAGAUGGAUUGGUGCCUUCGGGAACUCUGACACAGGUGCUGCAUGGCUGUCGUCAGCUCGUGUCGUGAGAUGGUGGGUUAAGUCCCGUAACGAGCGCAACCCUUGUCCUUAGUUACCAGCACGUUAUGGUGGGCACUCUAAGGAGACUGCCGGUGACAAACCGGAGGAAGGUGGGGAUGACGUCAAGUCAUCAUGGCCCUUACGGCCUGGGCUACACACGUGCUACAAUGGUCGGUACAAAGGGUUGCCAAGCCGCGAGGUGGAGCUAAUCCCAUAAAACCGAUCGUAGUCCGGAUCGCAGUCUGCAACUCGACUGCGUGAAGUCGGAAUCGCUAGUAAUCGUGAAUCAGAAUGUCACGGUGAAUACGUUCCCGGGCCUU
RNAcentral lists this ribosomal RNA (462 nucleotides) under uncultured Pseudomonas sp. RNAcentral's name for it is "bacterial SSU rRNA". It matches the Rfam family "Bacterial small subunit ribosomal RNA", at positions 920 to 1382 of the family's 1533-position model. Lineage: Bacteria; Pseudomonadati; Pseudomonadota; Gammaproteobacteria; Pseudomonadales; Pseudomonadaceae. The record is from RNAcentral.